UACGUAGGGGGCGAGCGUUAUCCGGAUUUAUUGGGUGUAAAGGGUGCGUAGACGGUUAGGCAAGUUGGUUGUGAAAUCCCUGGGCUCAACUUAGGAACUGCAACCAAAACUGUCAAACUUGAGUGCGGGAGAGGAAAGCGGAAUUCCUAGUGUAGCGGUGAAAUGCGUAGAUAUUAGGAGGAACACCAGUGGCGAAGGCGGCUUUCUGGACCGUAACUGACGUUGAGGCACGAAAGUGUGGGGAGCAAAC
RNAcentral lists this ribosomal RNA (250 nucleotides) under uncultured prokaryote. RNAcentral describes it as "partial 16S ribosomal RNA". It matches the Rfam family "Bacterial small subunit ribosomal RNA", at positions 524 to 773 of the family's 1533-position model. The record is from RNAcentral.